CAGAGGUGAUGGUGAGCGGUGCUAAGGCAGACUUGGCACUGCAAGAUGCAGACAGGAACACAGCAUUGCAUUUGGCUUGCAGCAAGGGUCACGAGACAAGUGCCUUGUUGAUUCUGGAGAAAUCAGCGACAGGAAUCUCAUUAACUGCACCAACGCUGCUCUGCAGACGCCCUUGCAUGUAGCAGCCAGGAAGGGAUUGACAGUGGUGGUCCAGGAGCUGCUGGUGAAAGGAGC
Long non-coding RNA from Oreochromis niloticus (Nile tilapia), 234 nucleotides. RefSeq lists it as uncharacterized. The transcript has 3 exons. Lineage: Eukaryota; Metazoa; Chordata; Actinopteri; Cichliformes; Cichlidae. The record is from RefSeq and is a predicted model, not a curated record.